This 398-nucleotide long non-coding RNA is filed under the name Nicotiana benthamiana. RNAcentral's name for it is "long non-coding RNA (NBEN_LNC008456)". Lineage: Eukaryota; Viridiplantae; Streptophyta; Magnoliopsida; Solanales; Solanaceae. The record is from RNAcentral.
AGUGUGGAAUGUAUUUGCACCAUCACCAAUCUUUCUAAGUUGUAUAUAGCUUCUUUUUAGAUACUUGAAUUGUCUAAUCUAUACGAUUCAUCAUUUGUCCCUUUUACAUUUCUGUUAGUUAAUUUUUAUCUCUUUUCUUUUCUUGAUUUGAAAGUUGUAAGUGUUUGCGACACAAUGAUAAGUCCGCCAACUAUCAAUUUUAGAAGCCCACCAUUGUUAACGCUACCAACCCAUUUUGAAGCCACCGUUGUUCAAGCCUUCAUUGUUGAAUGAAGAAUUCAACCACCAAUCACCUUCUUUAAGGCUAUAAAUAGAGUCUUAUGUUUACACAGAAAAAUCAAUCCAGAGAGAUUGAAAUACAAUCCAGGAAGAGAUUGUGAGAACAAAAGAGAGUUUGG